Molecule: ribosomal RNA, 623 nt
Filed under: uncultured bacterium
Lineage: Bacteria
Description: bacterial SSU rRNA
Rfam family: Bacterial small subunit ribosomal RNA
Source: RNAcentral
AGAGUUUGAUCUUGGCUCAGAGUGAACGCUGGCGGUAGGCCUAACACAUGCAAGUCGAACGGCAGCACAGGAGAGCUUGCUCUCUGGGUGGCGAGUGGCGGACGGGUGAGGAAUACAUCGGAAUCUACCUUUUCGUGGGGGAUAACGUAGGGAAACUUACGCUAAUACCGCAUAAGACCUUCGGGUGAAAGCCGGGGACCUUCGGGCCUGGCGCGGAUAGAUGAGCCGAUGUCGGAUUAGCUUGUUGGCGGGGUAAAAGCCCACCAAGGCGACGAUCCGUAGCUGGUCUGAGAGGAUGAUCAGCCACACUGGAACUGAGACACGGUCCAGACUCCUACGGGAGGCAGCAGUGGGGAAUAUUGGACAAUGGGCGCAAGCCUGAUCCAGCCAUACCGCGUGGGUGAAGAAGGCCUUCGGGUUGUAAAGCCCUUUUGUUGGGAAAGAAAUCCUGCCGGUUAAUAACCAGUAGGGAUGACGGUACCAAAGAAUAGCACCGGCUAACUUCGUGCCACACCGCGGUAAUACGAAGGUGCAGCGCUAUCGGAAUUAUGGGCUUAAGCGUCGUAGUGUUGUUAAUCUGUGUGAAGCCUGGCUCACCUGGAUUGAUGAUAUGGCAUAAUGUG